Molecule: ribosomal RNA, 497 nt
Filed under: uncultured Desulfobulbus sp.
Lineage: Bacteria; Pseudomonadati; Thermodesulfobacteriota; Desulfobulbia; Desulfobulbales; Desulfobulbaceae
Description: bacterial SSU rRNA
Rfam family: Bacterial small subunit ribosomal RNA
Source: RNAcentral
GCUCAGAAACUUAAAGGAAGUUGACGGGGCCCGCACAAGCGGUGGAGUAUGUGGUUUAAUUCGAUGCAACGCGAAGAACCUUACCUGGUCUUGACAUCCCGGAGACCCUUAGGAAACUAGGGGGUGCUUCCAUCUGGAAGAAUCUGGAGACAGGUGCUGCAUGGCUGUCGUCAGCUCGUGUCGUGAGAUGUUGGGUUAAGUCCCGCAACGAGCGCAACCCUUGCCUUUAGUUGCCAGCAGUUCGGCUGGGCACUCUAAAGGGACUGCCGGUGCUAAACCGGAGGAAGGUGGGGAUGACGUCAAGUCCUCAUGGCCUUUAUGACCAGGGCUACACACGUACUACAAUGGCCGAUACAAAGGGCAGCGACACUGCGAGGUGAAGCCAAUCCCGUAAAAUCGGUCUCAGUCCGGAUUGGAGUCUGCAACUCGACUCCAUGAAGUUGGAAUCGCUAGUAAUCGUGGAUCAGCAUGCCACGGUGAAUACGUUCCCGGGCCUU